RNAcentral lists this transfer RNA (57 nucleotides) under Bos taurus (domestic cattle). It matches the Rfam family "tRNA", at positions 8 to 63 of the family's 71-position model. From Rfam's summary of the family: Transfer RNA (tRNA) molecules are approximately 80 nucleotides in length. Their secondary structure includes four short double-helical elements and three loops (D, anti-codon, and T loops). Lineage: Eukaryota; Metazoa; Chordata; Mammalia; Artiodactyla; Bovidae. The record is from Rfam by way of RNAcentral. RNAcentral also lists the same sequence under 5 other names.
UAGCUCAGUUGGUAAAGAAUCUGCCUCCAAUGCAGGAGACCCAGGUUCAAUUCCUGG